This 116-nucleotide ribosomal RNA is filed under the name Salmonella enterica subsp. enterica serovar Enteritidis. Lineage: Bacteria; Pseudomonadati; Pseudomonadota; Gammaproteobacteria; Enterobacterales; Enterobacteriaceae. The record is from RNAcentral.
CCUGUCUGCACUAGCGCGGUGGUCCCACCUGACCCCAUGCCGAACUCAGAAGUGAAACGCCGUAGCGCCGAUGGUAGUGUGGGGUCUCCCCAUGCGAGAGUAGGGAACUGCCAGGC